UUGUAUGGGCAUUCUGUUGCUGUUUUACUUCCUCAGUCAGAACCACGCAGAAUUACUGAGAUUAAGUUAGGGCUUCUCAGCGGCUCCUUUGGUCACUAGAAGUGUCCUUCUAGAAUGACCCCAGGUCUUUCAUGUUUUGUGGCAUCCACCCAGCACUUUUAGAUUACGUAAGUGCCUACAGAAGGCUCUUGGUUGGUGCUUCUCAAAAGAAAUAAUUGUUUAUUUUUUUUCAGUUUUGCUCUGUAGAAUCUAAUGCUGCUGGAGGAAUUUGUUACUUUUCCUAUUGUGGGUCCUCUUAAGGAGCAACUUAAAACAAAACUACGUGCUGAAAGAAGCAUGUACAACUCCAGGAUGUUCUUCAUCCCUUCCAAGUGCUGACACUGCCAGAUGUUAAAAUCGCUGCCAGUCUGAGAAGGGAAGAGAGUACAGAGGGGAAGAAAGCACAGAGAGGGCCCAUAUACCUUUCAUCUAAUUUCCCACAAUGGUGUUGCAUUUUAUGUAAAUGAAGUACUCAGUCAAAACCUGGAAAUCAAAGUCCAAUGUCAUCAUGUAAAUCUUUAAAAGUAGAAGACAAAGGAGAAGUGUAGGCCAGUGAGACAAGAUGACAGGAGAAAAGGCAGAAGAGAUACGUGGAAGAAGUGAGAAGUAUGGUACUGGCGAGCCUUCUCUUGGGCACCCAGACAACUCACCAGCUGCUGCAGUUGCUGCACUCAGGGAUGCGUCCACUGCUCUGUUCCACUGGUGCAUUUCUACAUGGACUGGGCUCGCCAGUAGUUGCCCUGCGUCUGCUGGUUCAACCCACCACUCCCACGCCAGGAGUCUGGGCUCUGAGAAAGAGUGCUGCUCGUUGCCUCCCUCCUCUUUGUUGAAAUUUCUCUCUUCACUCUCCCCAUGGAUUUCAACUCUCGCCUCAGAUUCUUCUUGGGUACCCGGGAGUCCACUUCCCUCCUUCUUGACCUCAUGCCACUAUAUUCCAGUGUCAGGACACCAAAUCUUGGAGAGACUCUUUGUUGCUUACCACUCCGCCAUCGUCCUGGAAGUCUCUGUCUUCUUUUUCUUUAACCUAUGUUGUAAAAUUUUAAUUGAGUUUCUUUUUGACAGUAUAUAAUUGAGGCAUGUUUAAAAACUAC
Molecule: long non-coding RNA, 1130 nt
Organism: Fukomys damarensis (Damara mole-rat)
Lineage: Eukaryota; Metazoa; Chordata; Mammalia; Rodentia; Bathyergidae
Exons: 4
Source: RefSeq, a predicted model, not a curated record